AUUGAACGCUGGCGGCAUGCUUUACACAUGCAAGUCGAACGGCAGCGCGGGCUUCGGCCUGGCAGCGAGUGGCGAACGGGUGAGUAAUACAUCGGAACGUGCCCAGUAGUGGGGGAUAGCGCGCCGAAAGCCGGAUUAAUACCGCAUACGACCAGAGGGCGAAAGCGGGGGAUCUUCGGACCUCGCGCUUUUGGAGCGGCCGGUGGCAUAUUCGCUAGUUGGUGGGGUAAAGGCCUACCUAGGCGACGAUCUGUAGCUGGUCUGAGAGGACGGCCAGCCACAUUGGGAGUGAGGCACGGCCCAGACUCCUACGGUAGGCAGCAGUGGGGAAUUUUGGACAAAGGACGAGAGCCUGAUCCAGCGAUGCCGCGUGUGUGAUGAAGGCCUUCGGGUUGGAGAGCGCUGUUGGCGGUAACGAAGAGGAAUGUGCCAAUACCGCGGUUCGAUGACGGUACCCGCAGAAUAAGCACCGGCUAACUACGUG
Molecule: ribosomal RNA, 484 nt
Filed under: uncultured bacterium
Lineage: Bacteria
Description: partial 16S ribosomal RNA
Rfam family: Bacterial small subunit ribosomal RNA
Source: RNAcentral